Molecule: ribosomal RNA, 418 nt
Filed under: uncultured bacterium
Lineage: Bacteria
Description: bacterial SSU rRNA
Rfam family: Bacterial small subunit ribosomal RNA
Source: RNAcentral
CAGUGGGGAAUAUUGCGCAAUGGGCGAAAGCCUGACGCAGCGACGCCGCGUGCGGGAUGAAGGCCUUCGGGUUGUAAACCGCUUUCAGCAGGGACGAAGCGAAAGUGACGGUACCUGCAGAAGAAGCACCGGCUAACUACGUGCCAGCAGCCGCGGUAAUACGUAGGGUGCAAGCGUUGUCCGGAUUUAUUGGGCGUAAAGAGCUCGUAGGCGGUCUGUCGCGUCGGAUGUGAAAACCCAGGGCUCAACCCUGGGCCUGCAUUCGAUACGGGCAGACUAGAGUAUGGCAGGGGAGACUGGAAUUCCUGGUGUAGCGGUGAAAUGCGCAGAUAUCAGGAGGAACACCGGUGGCGAAGGCGGGUCUCUGGGCCAAAACUGACGCUGAGGAGCGAAAGCGUGGGGAGCGAACAGGAUUAGA